GUGACUGCGUACCUUUUGUAUAAUGGGUCAGCGACUUAUAUUCUGUAGCAAGGUUAACCGAAUAGGGGAGCCGGAGGGAAACCGAGUCUUAAUUGGGCGUUAAGUUGCAGGGUAUAGACCCGAAACCCGGUGAUCUAGCCAUGGGCAGGUUGAAGGUUGGGUAACACUAACUGGAGGACCGAACCGACUAAUGUUGAAAAAUUAGCGGAUGACCUGUGGCUGGGGGUGAAAGGCCAAUCAAACCGGGAGAUAGCUGGUUCUCCCCGAAAGCUAUUUAGGUAGCGCCUCGUGAAUUCAUCUCCGGGGGUAGAGCACUGUUUCGGCUAGGGGGCCAUCCCGGCUUACCAACCCGAUGCAAACUGCGAAUACCGGAGAAUGUUAUCACGGGAGACACACGGCGGGUGCUAACGUCCGUCGUGAAGAGGGAAACAACCCAGACCGCCAGCUAAGGUCCCAAAGUCAUGGUUAAGUGGGAAACGAUGUGGGAAGGCCCAGACAGCCAGGAUGUUGGCUUAGAAGCAGCCAUCAUUUAAAGAAAGCGUAAUAGCUCACUGGUCGAGUCGGCCUGCGCGGAAGAUGUAACGGGGCUAAACCAUGCACCGAAGCUGCGGCAGCGACGCUGAUGCGUUGUUGGGUAGGGGAGCGUUCUGUAAGCCUGUGAAGGUGUGUCGUGAGGCAUGCUGGAGGUAUCAGAAGUGCGAAUGCUGACAUAAGUAACGAUAAAGCGGGUGAAAAGCCCGCUCGCCGGAAGACCAAGGGUUCCUGUCCAACGUUAAUCGGGGCAGGGUG
RNAcentral lists this ribosomal RNA (789 nucleotides) under Salmonella enterica. RNAcentral describes it as "partial 23S ribosomal RNA". It matches the Rfam family "Bacterial large subunit ribosomal RNA", at positions 593 to 1381 of the family's 2925-position model. Lineage: Bacteria; Pseudomonadati; Pseudomonadota; Gammaproteobacteria; Enterobacterales; Enterobacteriaceae. RNAcentral also lists the same sequence under 3 other names. The record is from RNAcentral.